RNAcentral lists this ribosomal RNA (497 nucleotides) under uncultured bacterium. RNAcentral's name for it is "partial 16S ribosomal RNA". It matches the Rfam family "Bacterial small subunit ribosomal RNA", at positions 899 to 1397 of the family's 1533-position model. The record is from RNAcentral.
ACUCAAAUGAAUAGACGGGGGCCCGCACAAGCGGAGGAGCAUGUGGUUUAAUUCGAUGAUACGCGAGGAACCUUACCAGGGCUUGAAAGUUAGUGAAUGUCGUAGAAAUAUGACAGCAAGCAAUUGCACGAAACUAGGUGCUGCAUGGCUGUCGUCAGCUCGUGCCGUGAGGUGUUAGGUUAAGUCCUGUAACGAGCGCAACCCCUAUUAUUAGUUGCCAGCGGGUAAUGCCGGGGACUCUAAUAAGACUGCCCGCGCAAGCGGUGAGGAAGGUGGGGAUGACGUCAAGUCAUCACGGCCCUUACGUCCUGGGCUACACACGUGCUACAAUGGGUGGUACAGAGGGCUGCUACACAGCAAUGUGAUGCUAAUCUCAAAAACCAUUCUCAGUUCGGAUAGAGGUCUGCAACUCGACCUCUUGAAGCUGGAUUCGCUAGUAAUCGCAGAUCAGCAAUGCUGCGGUGAAUACGUUCCCGGGCCUUGUACACACCGCCCGU